UGGUGGAGUGAUUUGUCUGCUUAAUUGCGAUAACGAACGAGACCUUAACCUGCUAAAUAGCCCGGCUCGCUUUGGCGGGUUGCCGGCUUCUUAGAGGGACUAUCGGCUCAAGCCGAUGGAAGUUUGAGGCAAUAACA
Molecule: ribosomal RNA, 137 nt
Filed under: uncultured eukaryote
Lineage: Eukaryota
Description: partial 18S ribosomal RNA
Rfam family: Eukaryotic small subunit ribosomal RNA
Source: RNAcentral